CCACAGUGAAAUAUUCGACACAGCACAGAAGCCGAUCACUUACAGACAACAGCGUUGGCCAAAUUUACUUUCACCUGAGACCCUUGACUGGGAGGAAGAACUCCAAACGACCCUGUUCCCUGGAAUGAGAUGUCAAUGAAGCAUGUCUGAUUUGUGAAAAUUUUGAAGCAGGUCUGUAUUAGUCCGUUUUUAAGCUGCUGAUAAAGACAAACCCAAGACUGGGGAGAAAAGGAGGUUUAAUUUGACUUAUGGUUCCACAUGGCUGGGGAGAUCUCGUGAUCAUGACGGAAGGCAAAAGGCACUUUAUACAUGGUAGCAGCAAGAGAGAAUGAGGAAGAAGCAAAAGCAGAACCCCCUGAUAAACCCAUCAGAUGUUGUGAGACUUAUUCACUAUCACGAGAAUAGCAUGGAAGAGACCACCCCCAUGAUUCAAUUACCUCCCGCUGGGUCCGUCCCAUAACACGUGGGAAUUCUGGGAGAUACAAUUGAAGUUGAGAUUUGAAUGGGGACACAGCCAAACCAUAUCAAGGUCACUCUCGUGAUUUCUUUUUGGGUAACACCCAUACAGGUGUGGACUCCUUUUUGUCAAGUUUCUCAGUUUCACUGUGCAGAGGCUAAAAGUGGCAGCAACAUCUCUUACCACCUGGCUAUGAGAUUUCCUUCAAAUACCUGGAGAGGGACUCAUUGGUUGGGAAUAUUAUCACACUCUGAUGUUUUGCCCAAGAGCAGCCUGUGAAUCCUGCUGAGAGUUCACAGCUUAGCCUUUCUACUUCUUUGCCACCUUCCAGGCUUCUGGAACUGCUCCAGGACAGAGCAGCCUGGAUCAGAGGAGGGAAGUAACAAGUGACAGCCUGCUGGAGAAGUGACAGCUCACGUCACUUCUGUCCUGUUCCAGGAGUGAUGCUAAGUCAGGCUUCUGUCUCGGUUCCUUUGUGUGCCCUUUAUGGAGGCUCCUUCUGAGUCCCCCCUAUCCCCACCAGAAGUCUCUUCUUCUGAGUCUUGGUUCAUAUCAAAGUGGAAAACUGAUGUUCUAGAUGCACUUAUGCAAAGCCAAGGGCGGGGCAGAAGGCAGGGUGCUGGCCGUGGGACUUAGUGGUGGUGGGUCAGUGGGAGCAAAGACAUACACUAUCAGCAGUGCCUAAAGGUGAGAGCUCAGGGAUGGCCCACCUUAACCUUUCUCUGCACGUUCUUAUAAAUGCAGGUUGUAGUUGGUUAAAUAGUGUUCUCCCAAACUAUGUCCAAGUCCUAACUCCCAGGACAUGUAAAUGUGACUUUAUUUGGAAACAGGGUCUUAGCAGAGGUAAUUAAGCUAACAGUCUCAAGAUGAGAUCCUGUUGGAUUUAGGGCAGGCUCUAAGUCCAAUGACUGGCAUCCUUAUAAGAAGAGGAGAGGACACACAGACACCCAAGUGAGCCACAUGUAAAGACAGAGGCAGAGACUGCAGCGGCGCAACUCCAGUCAACCAGCCAAGCAACAAGACUGACUGGCAGCCGCUGGAAGCCAGGAGAGAGGCAUGGAAUGGGUCUCCCUCUGAGCCUCUGGAAGGAACCAACCCCACUGACACCUCAAUUGUGGACUUCUGGCCUCCAGAACUGUGAGACAAUACAUUUCUGUUGUUUGAGGCCACGAGGUUUGUGGUUGUUUGUAAUGGUACCCACAGGAAGCUCAUCCACAGUUAACACACAUCAUAUGUGAGCUCUGCGCAGACAGUCUUUACGCUGCUGUCAUCAUCCAAGGAUGGCUGUGCGGGGAACGAUGACUGCUAACUCAGUUCACCAGAAGAUUGCUGCUCCCUGUUUCUUUGCAUAGUAUUGACACAUGAGAGGCUUGGAGGAUGCAUACCCUGAGUUAGCACUUGAAGUCAUCUGAAUGCUGUUUGCCUGUCCUUGACAUUACACAAUUUGUGUAUCUUUGUGUGAUCCAAGUUAAAUCUGACAAUAGAAAACAAUCACAAAAUAAGCAUUUCCUGGCAUUGUCAUCAUUCAAGAUGAAAGGAAAGUGGAAUGAGGCGAUUUCUGCCUCUAUGGGAUCCACUGACAAUUAACUGGAGCAGCUCAUCCCGGUCCCUUUUCAAUGAAUAUUAACAACCACACUGACUGCAGAUAGCUCUGUAUUGCUCCCCAUCGUGCGGCAAAAUUGAGUAAACACUUAUUCCUCAUUAGGGUGUUUUAUGAAUAGGGCAUUACAGUGCGCUGGUGGCACUCACUCUGCCUUUCGUGAAGGAGGCCACGAUGAACAGCUGGAGUCGGAAUCACCGUUCUGCCUUCUUCCUGUUCUCAGCAGACGCACACGGCGCCGAGGGGGUGCUCUGUGAGGCCCCUG
RNAcentral lists this long non-coding RNA (2322 nucleotides) under Homo sapiens (human). Its description in RNAcentral is "HSALNT0170186". Lineage: Eukaryota; Metazoa; Chordata; Mammalia; Primates; Hominidae. The record is from RNAcentral.